AGCGAACGCUGGCGGCAGGCCUAACACAUGCAAGUCGAACGGACCCUUCGGGGUUAGUGGCGGACGGGUGAGUAACACGUGGGAACGUGCCUUUAGGUUCGGAAUAGCUCCUGGAAACGGGUGGUAAUGCCGAAUGUGCCCUUCGGGGGAAAGAUUUAUCGCCUUUAGAGCGGCCCGCGUCUGAUUAGCUAGUUGGUGAGGUAACGGCUCACCAAGGCGACGAUCAGUAGCUGGUCUGAGAGGAUGACCAGCCACACUGGGACUGAGACACGGCCCAGACUACUACGGGAGGCAGCAGUGGGGAAUCUUGCGCAAUGGGCGAAAGCAUGACGCAGCCAUGCCGCGUGAAUGAUGAAGGUCUUAGGAUUGUAAAAUUCUUUCACCGGGGACGAUAAUGACGGUACCCGGAGAAGAAGCCCCGGCUAACUUCGUG
RNAcentral lists this ribosomal RNA (433 nucleotides) under uncultured bacterium. RNAcentral's name for it is "partial 16S ribosomal RNA". It matches the Rfam family "Bacterial small subunit ribosomal RNA", at positions 29 to 507 of the family's 1533-position model. The record is from RNAcentral.